Molecule: unclassified non-coding RNA, 374 nt
Filed under: Hevea brasiliensis (rubber tree)
Lineage: Eukaryota; Viridiplantae; Streptophyta; Magnoliopsida; Malpighiales; Euphorbiaceae
Source: RNAcentral
CAAAUUGACAACUGCAUUCAAUAUGGAGAAGAUGCGGACGUGAAGGUCAGAGAUUUUGAUCCAGAGGAUGAUGAUGAGUAGACUAAUGUUUGCUGGAAUUAGGUUACUGAGGACGCAGCCACUCCCUGAAAUUGAGCAAUCGAUGCAAUAUGUUUUCACUUUGUAGAUAAAUUAAAGGAAGAAUGACGAGUUCUGAGCAAAUUCGGCUUUUUGGCGAAUUUUGUGGCUUGCUUUUGGCCCCUCCAUUGUCAAUACAUCAUCUCUCCUUUUUUUAAUGUUUGGAAAAAAAAUGAUGUGCUUUGAACUUUAUUACCGUUCAGAUUCAUCUUCCAAUUGUUCAUGCUUUUUUAAUUCCCUCAAUUAAAACAUGGGCG